AUUGAACGCUGGCGGCAGGCCUAACACAUGCAAGCCGAGCGGAUGAAGGGAGCUUGCUCCUGGAUUCAGCGGCGGACGGGUGAGUAAUGCCUAGGAAUCUGCCUGGUAGUGGGGGAUAACGUCCGGAAACGGGCGCUAAUACCGCAUACGUCCUGAGGGAGAAAGUGGGGGAUCUUCGGACCUCACGCUAUCAGAUGAGCCUAGGUCGGAUUAGCUAGUUGGUGGGGUAAAGGCCUACCAAGGCGACGAUCCGUAACUGGUCUGAGAGGAUGAUCAGACACACUGGAACUGAGACACGGUCCAGACUCCUACGGGAGGCAGCAGUGGGGAAUAUUGGACAAUGGGCGAAAGCCUGAUCCAGCCAUGCCGCGUGUGUGAAGAAGGUCUUCGGAUUGUAAAGCACUUUAAGUUGGGAGGAAGGGCAGUAAGUUAAUACCUGGCUGUUUUGACGGUACCAACAGAAUAAGCACCGGCUAACUUCGUG
Molecule: ribosomal RNA, 484 nt
Filed under: uncultured bacterium
Lineage: Bacteria
Description: partial 16S ribosomal RNA
Rfam family: Bacterial small subunit ribosomal RNA
Source: RNAcentral